GUGAUUAUAUCCUAUGCGUGGGCUGACCUGAGAGUUCGCAGGUGGUACAGUUGCAACUGAAUUAUGUUUUGUUCUCAUUUGAUACCUGUAGAUGGGUAAUUUCCACCAGAUGUUAGUGAAUUCUGAUUAGGCGGGACGCCUUGGCUGAUUUCCCCUUCUCUGGAUCAAGGACAUUGAGACCAAUUGUAAUGCCUGAACUGCUACCCAGACUGAUGUCAGCUUAACUUGAACUGAAGCUCUUAAAUUGGCUGGAUUUGUUUUAAUGUUUGAAUCCUUUCUGCAUCCAGUGGGAUCAUCACCUACUUUGACACCCACUUUCAUUUCCCACUCCCGUGUUAAAAUUGACUCUACGUGAAGCGAACAACUUUGGAAUCAGUUAUGUGGAAACCUGAUCAUCAGACUGCCGCACCCCUCAGGAUUCCUUUCAAACAUAGGCAAGUUUGAAAUUGUUUGCAUGUAUAUCUUUUGACCAUCAGCAUAAUGAAGGUCAGAAUGCUUAUGAAGAAAACUGAAAAAGAAAAA
This is a long non-coding RNA of Carcharodon carcharias (great white shark), 522 nucleotides long. RefSeq lists it as uncharacterized. The transcript is spliced from 3 exons. The record is from RefSeq and is a predicted model, not a curated record. NCBI's taxonomy places the organism in Eukaryota, Metazoa, Chordata, Chondrichthyes, Lamniformes, Lamnidae.